GGAUGUGAGAGCGAUUUGGCUGCACCAUCUGUCACUCCAUUGAUCUCCAGGGUUGAUUCAGCUGAUCUGGCUGGCUAGAUGGGUUUCCCCUUCUUCCCUAACUGCUCCAUGUGCAUACCUCCCAAAGCUGCACGCUCGGUGGAAGAGGAUGACCAUCCCAGAUAGAAGGAGUGUACCGAUCUUCGGUCAAGGAAGAGAUGUGGAAACUUGGUUUAGUCAGGAAAGCAGAAGACAUUGACUAAGAUUUAUAUUAACUUUCCUGCAGAUAAGAAAAUCAAGACAUCUUAGAGAGUUAUUUAUUUUUGUAGAGAUUAAUCUAAAGUCGUCUUAACUG
Molecule: small nuclear RNA, 334 nt
Filed under: Ophiophagus hannah (king cobra)
Lineage: Eukaryota; Metazoa; Chordata; Lepidosauria; Squamata; Elapidae
Description: 7SK RNA
Rfam family: 7SK RNA (bases 1-195)
About the family: 7SK was discovered as an abundant small nuclear RNA in the mid-70s but a possible function has only recently been suggested.
Source: Rfam by way of RNAcentral